UCUAAGAGGUGGCCUGAGGAUUCGUCCC
This 28-nucleotide non-coding RNA is filed under the name Mus musculus (house mouse). The record is from RNAcentral. Lineage: Eukaryota; Metazoa; Chordata; Mammalia; Rodentia; Muridae.